This 300-nucleotide ribosomal RNA is filed under the name uncultured bacterium. RNAcentral describes it as "bacterial SSU rRNA". It matches the Rfam family "Bacterial small subunit ribosomal RNA", at positions 1083 to 1382 of the family's 1533-position model. The record is from RNAcentral.
AGUCCUAUAACGAGCGNAACCCCUGUUGUUAGUUGCCAGCGAGUAAUGUCGGGAACUCUAGCAAGACUGCCGGUGCAAACCGUGAGGAAGGUGGGGAUGACGUCAAAUCAUCACGGCCCUUACGUCCUGGGCUACACACGUGCUACAAUGGUAGGGACAGAGAGCAGCCACUACGCGAGUAGGAGCGAAUCUUCAAAACCGGUCUCAGUUCGGAUCGCAGUCUGCAACUCGACUGCGUGAAGCUGGAAUCGCUAGUAAUCGGAUAUCAGCCAUGAUCCGGUGAAUACGUUCCCGGGCCUU